This is an unclassified non-coding RNA of Chelonoidis abingdonii (Abingdon island giant tortoise), 178 nucleotides long. The record is from Ensembl. Lineage: Eukaryota; Metazoa; Chordata; Testudines; Testudinidae.
AUGGGAGUUUUAGAAAGUGAAGUGUUCCUUUUCAGCACAGAACAGGUCCACCAUGGGGGACAGCAGUGCAAGCUUCCCUACAUUCCCCUACUAAGAUGCUUCAAGCAUGAUCUGGAGGAACAUCCUGUAGCAGGGAAAAUUCUUCUUUCUGUGUAUGUCUUGUCAGUCCUUGUCUCUC